GACGUAGGGCGCGAGCGUUGUCCGGAUUUAUUGGGCGUAAAGAGCUCGUAGGCGGCUUGUUGCGUCAGCUGUGAAAACCCGCAGCUCAACUGUGGGCUUGCAGCUGAUACGGGCAGACUUGAGUUCGGCAGGGGAGACUGGAAUUCCUGGUGUAGCGGUGAAAUGCGCAGAUAUCAGGAGGAACACCGGUGGCGAAGGCGGGUCUCUGGGCCGACACUGACGCUGAGGAGCGAAAGCGUGGGGAGCGAACAGG
This 253-nucleotide ribosomal RNA is filed under the name uncultured bacterium. Its description in RNAcentral is "partial 16S ribosomal RNA". It matches the Rfam family "Bacterial small subunit ribosomal RNA", at positions 524 to 776 of the family's 1533-position model. The record is from RNAcentral.